This 406-nucleotide ribosomal RNA is filed under the name uncultured bacterium. Its description in RNAcentral is "partial 16S ribosomal RNA". It matches the Rfam family "Bacterial small subunit ribosomal RNA", at positions 30 to 526 of the family's 1533-position model. The record is from RNAcentral.
AUUGCACGCUGGCGGCAGGCCUAACACAUGCAAGUCGGGCGAGUGGCGGACGUGUGAGUAAUGUAUGGGGAUCUGCCCGAUGGAGGGGGAUAACUACUGGAAACGGUAGCUAAUACCGCCUACCCUCAGAUGAACCCAUAUGGGAUUAGCUAGUAGGUGUGGUAACGGCGUACCUAGGCGACGAUCCCUAGCUGGUCGGAGAGGAUGAUCAGCCACACUGGGACUGAGACACGGCCCAGACUCCUACGGGAGGAAGCAGUGGGGAAUAUGGCACAAUGGGCGGAAGCCUGAUGCAGCCAUGCCGCGUGUAUGAAGAAGGCCUUCGGGUUGUAAAGUACUUUCAGUCGGGAGGCGUUACAGGCAGAAGAAGCACCGGCUAACUCCGUGCCAGCAGCCGCGGUAAUAC